Salmo salar (Atlantic salmon) is the source of this 658-nucleotide long non-coding RNA. RefSeq lists it as uncharacterized. The record is from RefSeq and is a predicted model, not a curated record. NCBI's taxonomy places the organism in Eukaryota, Metazoa, Chordata, Actinopteri, Salmoniformes, Salmonidae.
UCCCUUCAUACUUGGAAGUGAUUGCUUGGCUCAACUUGAAGAAAGACAGACACAGAAACAGAUAUGUCACAGAGGGUAUGUAGAGAGCUCGUCAUACAUUAAUGCUAGUAUGUAUCAGAAAGCCUUGCAAUAAUUAAAGUCAAACUGAAGACAGAACAUAGUUUUCUUUGGAUGAAAGUAGGCUUUUUUCUUUCGACGGGGAUCUAUUGUACAACAUGGUAACAGUGCUAAUGUCAACAGGGACCGGGGACCAGUGUAACUUUAACAUCAGUGAGAAAUGUAAAGGGGGUCUACGCACUCAAAUGCCCACCCUGGGCCUCAUGUGACUCACACAAACUGUCUGAUCGCACACAUCUGUAUGCCGUGACUCAGAGAGUGGCCUAGAGAUAACCCUGACUCAUUCUUUCUCAUCUGGGGAUUUUGGAGGGUUGUGAACCAGCCCUAGCACUGUACUUUCAAUGGGCUCUCACAGGGCAUAAGCACCUAGAUGUGCUGUCAAAGAUUAGAGGUAUGUAUGGUUUUAAAUGUCAAUAACAGUGCUAUUUCAUUUCAUAUUAAGAUGUCUACCAAAUAAAACAACAAUUAAUUAUGAAAACAUUUUUUUCUGGCCUUUCUGGUGUGCUACUUUCUGGUCUACUAAUACAAUGUAAUUGUGAAA